UCGAGCGAACAGAUAAGGAGCUUGCUCCUUUGACGUUAGCGGCGGACGGGUGAGUAACACGUGGAUAACCUACCUAUAAGACUGGGAUAACUUCGGGAAACCGGAGCUAAUACCGGAUAAUAUAUUGAACCGCAUGGUUCAAUAGUGAAAGACGGUUUUGCUGUCACUUAUAGAUGGAUCCGCGCCGCAUUAGCUAGUUGGUAAGGUAACGGCUUACCAAGGCAACGAUGCGUAGCCGACCUGAGAGGGUGAUCGGCCACACUGGAACUGAGACACGGUCCAGACUCCUACGGGAGGCAGCAGUAGGGAAUCUUCCGCAAUGGGCGAAAGCCUGACGGAGCAACGCCGCGUGAGUGAUGAAGGUCUUCGGAUCGUAAAACUCUGUUAUUAGGGAAGAACAAAUGUGUAAGUAACUAUGCACGUCUUGACGGUACCUAAUCAGAAAGCCACGGCUAACUACGUGCCAGCAGCCGCGGUAAUACGUAGGUGGCAAGCGUUAUCCGGAAUUAUUGGGCGUAAAGCGCGCGUAGGCGGUUUUUUAAGUCUGAUGUGAAAGCCCACGGCUCAACCGUGGAGGGUCAUUGGAAACUGGAAAACUUGAGUGCAGAAGAGGAAAGUGGAAUUCCAUGUGUAGCGGUGAAAUGCGCAGAGAUAUGGAGGAACACCAGUGGCGAAGGCGACUU
Molecule: ribosomal RNA, 683 nt
Filed under: uncultured Staphylococcus sp.
Lineage: Bacteria; Bacillati; Bacillota; Bacilli; Caryophanales; Staphylococcaceae
Description: bacterial SSU rRNA
Rfam family: Bacterial small subunit ribosomal RNA
Source: RNAcentral